RNAcentral lists this transfer RNA (88 nucleotides) under Synergistaceae bacterium. RNAcentral's name for it is "tRNA-Ser". It matches the Rfam family "tRNA". From Rfam's summary of the family: Transfer RNA (tRNA) molecules are approximately 80 nucleotides in length. Lineage: Bacteria; Thermotogati; Synergistota; Synergistia; Synergistales; Synergistaceae. The record is from RNAcentral.
GGAGAGCUGGCCGAGCGGUCGAAGGCGGUUGACUUGAAAUCAAUUGUGGGGCAACCCACCGCGGGUUCGAAUCCUGCGCUCUCCGCCA